Molecule: ribosomal RNA, 408 nt
Filed under: uncultured bacterium
Lineage: Bacteria
Description: partial 16S ribosomal RNA
Rfam family: Bacterial small subunit ribosomal RNA
Source: RNAcentral
GACGAACGCUGGCGGCGUGCUUAACACAUGCAAGUCGAACGAAGUGGCGAACGGGUGAGUAACGCGUAAUCAACCUGCCCUUCAGAGGGGGACAACAGUAGGACACGAGUGCUAAUACCGCAUACGGAAGGAGGGGAUUGCGUCUGAUUAGCUAGUUGGAGGGGUAACGGCCCACCAAGGCAAUGAUCAGUAGCCCGUCUGAGAGGAUGAACGGCCACAGUGGGACUGGGACACGGCCCAGACUCCUACGGGAGGCAGCAGUGGGGAAUCUUCCGCAAUGGACGAAAGUCUGACGGAGCAACGCCGCGGGAGUGAUGAAGGGCUUCGGGUUGUAAAGCUCUGUUAAUCGGGACGCGGUACCGGAAUAGAAAGCCACGGCUAACUACGUGCCAGCCGCCGCGGUAAUUC